CAGCAGCCGCGGUAAUACGGGGGGAGCAAGCGUUGUUCGGAUUUACUGGGCGUAAAGGGCGCGUAGGCGGCGCAACAAGUCACUUGUGAAAUCUCAGAGCUUAACUCUGAACGGUCAAGUGAUACUGUCGUGCUAGAGUGCAGAAGGGGCAACUGGAAUUCUCGGUGUAGCGGUGAAAUGCGUAGAUAUCGAGAGGAACACCUGCGGCGAAGGCGGGUUGCUGGGCUGACACUGACGCUGAUGCGCGAAAGCCAGGGGAGCGAACGGGAUUAGAUACCCCUGUAGUCCCUGUCUCUUAUAA
This 301-nucleotide ribosomal RNA is filed under the name uncultured bacterium. Its description in RNAcentral is "partial 16S ribosomal RNA". It matches the Rfam family "Bacterial small subunit ribosomal RNA", at positions 509 to 809 of the family's 1533-position model. The record is from RNAcentral.